RNAcentral lists this long non-coding RNA (1026 nucleotides) under Gossypium barbadense (sea-island cotton). RNAcentral describes it as "long non-coding RNA (GBAR_LNC019119)". Lineage: Eukaryota; Viridiplantae; Streptophyta; Magnoliopsida; Malvales; Malvaceae. The record is from RNAcentral.
UUUUGGCGAGGUACCCACGAGAAGACUAUAGGGUCUGGAGUGGCGAACCAAUAGGGGAUUACACGAUGAGAAGUGGUUAUAGGAGGUUAAUAAUGGAAGAUCCUAGUCUAACUACAGAUGAUGCUGAAAAUACAGUAAUAAAAUUUUACAAAAAUCUAUGACAGACAGAUCUUCUUGGAAAAGUGAAAAUAAGAAACUGGAAAGUCUAGAUUAACUUCAUUCCUACUUUUGACAAUCUACAGUUCAAAACAGUGAGUAAUUCCGCUCUAUGCUUUCGGUGCAGUGGAGGCUCAGAAUCACUAGAACACUUUUUUAGGGACUGUCUUGCAAUUCAAGGAAUUUGGAAUACGUUAGGAUUUCAGGGGUUUGAUGAAGAAGAAAACAUGAAUUUCCAACAGUGGUUAGAGGGAAUGCUUACAAAGCUGACAUACUGUCAAAAAAAGCCUCUUCUGUAGCAUCUGGGCUAUUUGAUUGGGACAGAAUAAGGCACUGCAUGAAGGGAUUCAUCAGACAGUAAUAGAAACAAUGAAGUUUAUUCAAACAUAUCUAGGAGAAUGGGAAAUGGCUAAUAAUAACUUACCUGGCCAUCGGAUCGAGGAUCAAUGAAGGCCACCGGAGAGAAAUACAGUAAAAAUAAACUUCAAUAGAGUCUUUGAUAAUCAGAUGCAAAAAUUAGGCUCGACUAUAGUGGGUAGAGAUUUGAGGGGGUUUUCUGGGAUCCAGACUAAUGCUGAAUAAUCAAGUACCUACGCCUUUUUUGGUAGAGGCGGUGGCCUGUUUACAGGUUGUACAGUGGGGAAUAGAAAAGGGAUAUCGCCGAGUAGUGAUCGAAGGGGACGCUUUUAGGAAAUGCAAUUUGGCGUUUUGAUUUUCUAUGGAAGAGCAAGGUACUUGGUCUUUUGAGAAGCUGGGCAUUGGGGGUAUCAAAAUAGGGACUAGGUUUUUUAGGAAGGUUUUGUUUUGUUUGGGCUAGGGUAGAAGUAGUUUGUUUUUUUCGGUUUGGUUUUUUAGUUUGUUUACUAUUUU